AAUGAAUAAAAACAAGUAAUAGUAGUAGUUGAAACUAUUAUUCUACAUACAACUAUUUACAAUGUACACAGGGAAACAAGUCAGCAACAAAAAGGUACAAGACCCUGAGAGAAAGGGUGACAGGUUGAGCCACACCUAGGGGUGUGCCUUCCCAGGGAAGGAGAGGCAGACCACACUUAGGGGCAUGCCUUCCCAGGCAGUCUGACAACUGGUAGAUUUACAAGAGUUGGGGACAACCACCCACCAGCACUCUCAAAAUGGUGCACCCACCCAACUCACAUGUUGAGUGACCUGGGAUCACUUGCCAAUGUCAGGCAAGGUCAGGAUCCUAUGAAGGCUCAAAUCAGCAUUCCAAGGCAAGGGGAAAAAGGUGGAGCGAGUCCCCUUUCAUAAGCAGUGGCCAGCUGCCUCAGACUGGGGUCCUUUCAGCCACAGAUGGCUUCAGAGGUUUGGUGUCUUCGUUUGAAGCGAUUAGCCUUCAAAAAGGCUGCCAAGCUGCAUCUGCUCCAGCACAAUUCUUCUUCUCCUUCUCCUCCUUUUCUCCUCCUCAUUCUCCUCCUCUUCUUCUCCUUCCCCUUUCUUCUCCUUCUCCUCCUCUUCUUCUCCUUCUCCUCUUUUUUCUUCUUCUCCUUCUCCUCCUUUUCUUCUCCUCCUCUUCUUCUCCUUUUCUUCUCUUCUCUUCUUCUCCUCCUUUCCUUCUUCUCCUUUUCUUCUUUCUUCUCCUUUUCUUCUUCUUCCUUUCUUCUCCCUUUCUUCUCCUCCCUUUCUUCUCUUCUCCUCCUUUUCUUUUUCUCCUCCUCCUUUUCUUCUCCUUUUCUUCUCCUCCUUUUCUUCUCCUUUUCUUCUUCUCCUCCUCCUUUUCUUCUUCUCUUCUUCUCCUCCUUUUCUUCUCCUUUUCUUCUUCUUCUCCUUGUCUCCUUCUCUUCUUCUUCUUCCUUUCUUCUUCUCCCUUUCUUCUCCUCCUUUUCUUCUCUUCUCCUCCUUUUCUCCUCCUUUUCUUCUCCUCCUUUUCUUCUCCUCCUUUUCUUCUCCUUUUCUUCUUCUCCUCCUCCUUUUCUUCUCCUCUUCUCCUCUUCUCCUCUUCUCCUCCUCCUUUUCUCCUUUUCUUCUUCUCCUCCUCCUUUUCUUCUCCUUUUCUUCUCCUCCUCCUUUUCUUCUCCUCCUCCUUUUCUUCUCCUUUUCAUCUCCUUCUCCUUUUCUUCUUUCUUCUUCUCCUGCUCUUCUUCUCCUCCUCCUUUUCUCCUCCUUUUCUUCUUCUCCUUUUCUUCUCCUCCUCUUCUUCUUCUCCUUUUCUUCUUCUCCUUUUCUUCUUCUCUUCUUCUCCUUUUCUUCUUUUCCUCCUUUUCUUCUCCUUCCUUCUUCUUCUCCUCCUCUUCUUUUCCUCCCUUUCUUCUUCUCCUCCUUCUCCUCCUCUUCUCCUCCUUCUCUUCUCCUCUUCUUCUCUUCUCCUCCUUUUCUUAUCCUCCUCCUUUCCUCCUCCUCCUCUUCUUCUCCUUUUCUCCUUCUCCUUUUCUUCUCCCUUUCUUCUUCUCUUCUCCUCCUUUUCUUCUUCUCCUCUUCUCUUCUUCUCCUCCUCUUGUCCUCCUCUUCUUCUCUUCCUCCUCUCCUCUUCCUUCUCCUCCUCUCCUCCUCUUCUCCUUCUCCUUCUCCUUCUCCUUCUCCCUCUCCUUCUCCCUCUCCUCUUCUUCUCUUCUCCUCCUUUUCUUAUCCUCCUCCUUUCCUCCUCCUCCUCUUCUUCUCCUUUUCUCCUUCUCCUUUUCUUCUCCCUUUCUUCUUCUCUUCUCCUCCUUUUCUUCUUCUCCUCUUCUCUUCUUCUCCUCCUCUUGUCCUCCUCUUCUUCUCUUCCUCCUCUCCUCUUCCUUCUCCUCCUCUCCUCCUCUUCUCCUUCUCCUUCUCCUUCUCCCUCUCCUUCUCCCUCUCCUUCUCCUCUUCUUCUCUUCUUCUUCUCCUCUUCUCCUCUUCUCCUCUNNNNNNNNNNNNNNNNNNNNNNNNNNNNNNNNNNNNNNNNNNNNNNNN
This 2016-nucleotide long non-coding RNA is filed under the name Struthio camelus australis. Its description in RNAcentral is "lncRNA (ENSSCUG00000017276.1)". The record is from RNAcentral. Lineage: Eukaryota; Metazoa; Chordata; Aves; Struthioniformes; Struthionidae.